RNAcentral lists this ribosomal RNA (348 nucleotides) under uncultured bacterium. Its description in RNAcentral is "bacterial SSU rRNA". It matches the Rfam family "Bacterial small subunit ribosomal RNA", at positions 8 to 349 of the family's 1533-position model. The record is from RNAcentral.
AGAGUUUGAUCAUGGCUCAGGAUGAACGCUAGCUACAGGCUUAACACAUGCAAGUCGGGGGGCGAGCAUGUUGGUUGCUUGCAACCAACGAUGGCGACCGGCGCACGGGUGAGUAACGCGUAUCCAACCUACCCUUGUCCAUCGGAUAACCCGUCGAAAGGCGGCCUAACACGAUAUGCGGUUCACAGCAGGCAUCUAACGUGAACGAAAUGUAAAGGAGAAGGAUGGGGAUGCGUCUGAUUAGCUUGUUGGCGGGGUAACGGCCACCAAGGGCUACGAUCAGUAGGGGUUCUGAGAGGAAGGUCCCCCACAUUGGAACUGAGACACGGUCCAAACUCCACGGGAGCA